Molecule: transfer RNA, 68 nt
Filed under: Marmota monax (woodchuck)
Lineage: Eukaryota; Metazoa; Chordata; Mammalia; Rodentia; Sciuridae
Description: tRNA.Ala
Rfam family: tRNA (bases 3-63)
About the family: Transfer RNA (tRNA) molecules are approximately 80 nucleotides in length. Their secondary structure includes four short double-helical elements and three loops (D, anti-codon, and T loops).
Source: RNAcentral
GCUGGGGCUCAGUGGUAGAGUGCUUACCUAGCACAUAUGAGGCACUGAGUUCGAUUCUCAGCACCGCA